GUGGCUCAGUGGUAGAGUGCUUGUCUUGAAUGCAAGCGGCCCUGAGUUCAAUUCCUCAGC
RNAcentral lists this transfer RNA (60 nucleotides) under Dipodomys ordii (Ord's kangaroo rat). It matches the Rfam family "tRNA", at positions 7 to 64 of the family's 71-position model. Rfam says of the family: Transfer RNA (tRNA) molecules are approximately 80 nucleotides in length. Their secondary structure includes four short double-helical elements and three loops (D, anti-codon, and T loops). The record is from Rfam by way of RNAcentral. Lineage: Eukaryota; Metazoa; Chordata; Mammalia; Rodentia; Heteromyidae.